Fukomys damarensis (Damara mole-rat) is the source of this 710-nucleotide long non-coding RNA. The record is from Ensembl. NCBI's taxonomy places the organism in Eukaryota, Metazoa, Chordata, Mammalia, Rodentia, Bathyergidae.
CAAUAAUGCCCACGACCGUGUCCGGGGAGUGGCAGACCUCACUGGUGGCCCUUUACAAUGUGUCAACCCGUGCAGGGAGAUGAGAGCGAGGGAGAACACGACUGAAGGGGUGCUGUGCAGACAGAGCCCAGACUGGACGAAAGCUCGGGACCCGGAGUCUUAACGACAGGAACUCGAUUUCUUAUAUGGAGAAGCAACAAGAAGGGGGAAGGCGGGAAGCGGUCGAGGAGCGAUCUUUUCCAUCAGGUUUUUAGGUUUCCAGGUUGUAACCCCGCCCACCGCGCUGAUGAGAAACGGCAUGAACAUGGGCACCACCCCACCUUGCCAGCUGGAAGGAAUUUGUUCUGCUGAUAAAAGAGAUGUGAAGAUACAGAAGCCACAGACACCCAGAGAGAAGAGUGACAAAGGCUGUACGCGUGUAGUUCACCAUAUGCAAAUUGAAGUCAAAAAUUUCUGUGGGAUUCGAAAGAUGUGGAGGAGAAAUUUGUCACAAUAUAAUGAUGCCCACUUUUCCACAACUAUCAUAAAACAGUGACUUACGAAGUCCGUUGAAUCUAUCAGGUGACUGUCUAAGGGUAACUGACUCAUACCUUGGCGUGUACACCUUUCGGAGUGUGAGCUAUACUCACUGGUGACAAGGAGCAAACUGAUAUUACAAUAAAAUUGUACCGACUUUAAAGUAGUAUCUUUUGUUGGAAUCGCUAAAUGAU